This 2590-nucleotide long non-coding RNA is filed under the name Anas platyrhynchos (mallard). RNAcentral's name for it is "lncRNA (ENSAPLG00020017520.1)". Lineage: Eukaryota; Metazoa; Chordata; Aves; Anseriformes; Anatidae. The record is from RNAcentral.
UUCCUAGUAUUUCUCCAUUUUCCGGAUUUGCCUGUUUGGGACCUAGACUUACCUGAAGCCUUAGCAAUCAGACCAAAGCUGUUAGAAAAACAGCACAACAACCAACCCCAAGCCACCUCAGUCUUUCAGCCUACCAUAGUUGCUCAUUACAAAUACAUAAUUAGCCCCAGCAGAUAGCCUUGCUAAUAUGCCACUGAUAAGCACACAGACACACCAGAUGCAGGAAACCAUUAUUUUAAAGUUACAAGCAGGGUUUUUCCAGGAACUUCCUUCUCCCUUAUUACUGGCAAGGCAAUGAACAUGGGUGUCCUGACACACAGCCAGACAGAAGGCACCCCGAGGGGAAAGCACGGCUCCAACCCACUUCUAUGUCCACGUCCAGCACUGUCGCUGCAAUCCAGUCCCAGUGUCUCAGUCUACUAUGCCACUCUGGCCAGCUCCGUGGGCUUUGCACUUCUGUUUGCAGUUUCACUUCUGAAGGAAAUUCAAUAAUCGAAAAAAAGGAAAAAAAUGAGAAGUUAAUGCAACAUAGGAAGGGACUCUAGUACACCCGAGUAACUUUUUUUGUAGGAAGGAAUUGCGGCUACACCCAGAAAGCCCCAGAAGGACAGAGUGCCGGGGAUUUUCUGUUUCAGGGGAAAGGCUGCGAUCAGUUUUGCUGAAGCUGGCAGCAAUUCAGCCAGCUGCGAGUCUUAGGGCCGGGAGGAGCGAUAAAUCCAGUCCCAGACAUCUCCUGUAUGAAGUCACACAGCGCUGUAUCAAAUUAAGAAACUAAUAGAAAGACGUAGUUGGCGCGAGGCGAGCUAACUGCCAUAAAAAAGUGAAAUAAACAGGAAGAGCACUGACAUACCUCGGCAGCUACAACUGAAGUAACCUCACCGGGAAAGCUCUCUCCCGGCACCGAGGCCUUGUAAAGCGGCUGUAUGCGGAAGCAAAGGUCUGGCAGGAAUUACAGCAGGCAGCACAUGCUGCGCGUUGCACAACGCUGUGCUUUCCAGAAGGCACCGAGCCCUGGUGCGCCAGCACACGCACCCAGCCUGCCUGCCGCGGCCCCGCUGUGCUGCUUAACCUGCCACCUCUGCAGCACGCGCUUCUUGCCAGCGGUGUGACCACUGGCUUGAGAAAAGUCCUCGGCGAAUGUGAGAUUUUCAGAUGUCCGACAAAGACCCCAGCCGAAGCUGAGCUCCAGCCGCUUUUCGGAAUAUACCAAGACGCCACCAGCACGUGCAGAGCAGAGCCUGGCUGUUCUCAAGGCGUGAAGCCACCGCCACCCCUGGCACCGGAGCUCCCCACCACAUCCCAGCCCUCGCGUCCCAGCUGACGGGCACAGGUGAGGAGGGGUCCGGGCCCCCGUGGCGGCCUCGGGUGGUGGGGGAAGUGAAAGGGCCUCUGGGGGCUGAUGAAGGCCAGCAUGGUUUUCAAGAAAGCCUUCUUGAAACCCUCAUUCUGCACCACCCCUGCCCCAGGGUUCGUGGUCACUUAAAACGAAAGGUAAAUAACAAGAUGGAUGCUGCUCUUUUUCUUGGUAGGCAUGCUGAAGCCUUCUGCUCUGCUCUGCAGAAGCAGAUAGGCAGGGUGGUCUGAGCUCUGACCUGAAGGUAGGGGGCUGUGGCUCUUGCCUGUGUUGCUAAACACCCACCUGGGAGCCCUGUGGUUCUCAGGUUAGGUAACCGUGUUUGCGAUUCUCAGCGUCACGCCUCUGCGUCUAAAAAUAGGGAUACUGAUGCACACUGAAAGAAGCGAUGUUGAGAGAAGGGAAAAUGGUAAAAUCACGACAGUUUGACCCAAGUGAAAGUACAGACAACAGCACUGCAGUGGGCUACCUUACAGUUGCAGGAGAAAUCUUGAUUUUCAGUAGGGAAAGUUUCCUUCUCCAGAUAGUAUUCUCCAAAACCUUUUUGCUGCCCCAUAUGAUCUAGCAAUGAAAAGCUCUUCAGUAUUGAUUUGGCAUCAAACUCAGCCUUUGAGACUUGAGACAGAAAACUGUUUCUAUAGACUGAUUUGUGAACUAAGUGAAAUGAUGUGGUUUUUCCCAUUAGCCAAAGCUGACCUCGUGUAGCAUCCUGCAACCUCUUACACAGGUUACACGGAAACAGCCAAGAGCAGAAGGAAGCGCAGAAGACAGCCCAUCCUCCUGCUCACAUAGCUCACCCAGCAUGGCUCAGAUGCCCAUAAAACAGCAGGUUAAAUUGUAAGCUUGAGUCAGGAUGAUUCGAUGAAUAGAACCAGUAAAGAUAGCUCAGACUUGGUGUGACACGUUGGGAACUUUGUUCCAGAGAUGUAAGACUUUGAUUGUACUGUUUGAUUCCAGCAGCUGCUCACAAAUAAUGCACUUCUCUGACCAGCAACCUGAGAACUCCUCCUCAGGUUACGUAGCCUUUUCUUUCUUCAGCUUCUAUUUUCCUGUGUAGGAAGGUAACUUGCCUUCCAUGUACAGAGGACCUAGAUGACAGUGUUUCCUGAGGUGUCUUGUAGAUUUAUAUUUGGAUGCACCGUGGUAACUCAGACUUCGGAACAGAAUUUAGCUCCUAAGCAUGUCCUGUAUGGCACUGCAGUGACUUCAUGCUGUGAUUUUACUUUUUUCUUGUAG